This is a long non-coding RNA of Cygnus atratus (black swan), 2580 nucleotides long. RefSeq lists it as uncharacterized. The transcript is spliced from 2 exons. The record is from RefSeq and is a predicted model, not a curated record. NCBI's taxonomy places the organism in Eukaryota, Metazoa, Chordata, Aves, Anseriformes, Anatidae.
AUGGUUGUUAAAAUGCGGGAGCGAUGGGAACAACAUGGCACAGUGCUCUGAGAGACCUGUGUUUGACCAGUAAGUACAAGAGAAGUUAAAGCUCAAAGCUCAUAUUUUUUGAAGGUUAUUCAGCACCGUUUAAAAUUUCUAGCCAUCCCAGGUGUGCGUGCUUUGCUGUUUGAAAACCCCAUCUCUUUGCGGGGCCAGGCCUGCAGAGGCUAGGGACCUUCCUCCAGUGCUGCCCUGCUGUGGGGCCAGCAGACGUUGCUGGACCCUUUGCCUCUUCCCUGACCCAGCGUGGCAUGGCCUCUGUAUGGCUUGCACUUCGCUACUGUUCUGCAGCUUGCUGCUUUUCAUACAGUAGCACUGAGAGGCCUCACGUAAAAAAAAACAACACCAACAUACUAAUAAUAAUAAAAACCCAGCCCGUGGGUGCCAGGCUGUUGCUUGCUCUUCAGCAGAGAAGCCAGAAGUGAGCAGGGGUCAGGGAGCACCACGCGGUGCCUCACCAGGCAAAGACUUAAACCCACGGCUAUCAUUUCCCAACCAUCGAGCCGAACAGCCCCCUGCAUGCCAAAAAAACAUUUUUGUGGACGUAACUAUAGACAUGCGGCUAAAGGCAACACAACAACAGAACCUGGCUUGUUAAAAAAUACCCACAGAGUGUGGGGAAAAAAAUAAAAAUCUUCAACACAGCCUCGUCUGUCUCCAGCAAACAGGGCUUGUUUCAGGCCCUGGGCUCUGGCGCAGGCCCGAGCCACAGCGGGUGAGUGAGCUCCUGGCUGUCGGGCGCGCUGGUUUCGCAGCGGCUCGCACGCAGGCAUCGCCCUGCCCUUCGCCACCAGCCAGGGCCUGGCUUGGCCGCCUCACGGGCACUCGUGCCACCCCUUUGCCACCCGGCACGGCAGCCCGCCUGGCCGCCCUCGGCUGGGAUGGCGUGGCAGCUGUGGGACACGGGCCAUUCCCCCCCUCCAAGGAACAUCUCUGAGAGACACCAGCACUGCGGAACGAAGCCACGCUUAUCUCAUGCAUGCCACAGGUGUGAUGUCAUCCCCUCUGGCGAAGGAACGAGGAUGUCUACAGCCUCCGCCGCGCAAAAAUGCAGGAACUGAAGUUAACGUGCCUCAGACUUUGUUAAAAUACGGUGAUAAUUAAGAAGUAUAAUUACCACUACAAAGUUAAUUCCUCUUUGAGUUCUUACAAACAAGUUUUUAAUUUGCACCGAACAUCUACAUUUCAGAUGCGCAGUCACCCAGGCGCAGCCGCCACACGGCCCCGGGCUCUGCCCUGCACGGGGCCGGAGGCACUGUGGGUCCUCAGGGAGGGCCCGCUGCCACCACCUCUGCUGCCACCACCUCUGCUGCCACCAGCACUGCUGCCACCACCGCCGCUGCCACCGCCGCCGCCACCACCAAGGCCUGGGCACAGCCGUCCAAUUUUUGCACAGGCACUGAAGUGUUAAAGAAGAAAUUCAGCAGACCUCCAAUAUACUAGAAAUCAAGAAGUAAGAUCUGAAGAAAAAAAAAAAAGAUCUGCUGUUGGUUUAGACAGACAAAUCUAUAAUUCAGCUUUUUGUGUAUCAGCAUCACAACAAAAGUAAGUCAAGCUCACUCCGUAACCAAACAAAGCUAAACAGUGAACAUCUUGAAAACAGAAUUAAAAAGAAACCAUAAUGAUGAUGUAUUUCAAAUGUAUUAGUCUCCGAUAAAAGCCAAAGAGUUGGUAAUAUUGAUUUGCUGUGAAUUGCAGCAGACACACAUUCUAGGUGCUUGCAGUUUCCUGACUGAAGGCAUUCAAUGCACAGUCAUAGAUUCACGUUAGUAUUCUUGCUAUAAGAAUGAAAAGCGGGGAUUUUUUUUCUUCUCAAAAGUUAUUCUACACAGAUCUACCAAUAAGUAGCUGAAGGGAAAAACCCAGUAAAUGAAGUCAUUCCCUUUCUAAGCUUAGAGGAAGUUUUCUUGCUUUUUUGUCUCUUUCCUUCCAGAGGACAGAUCAUGUUUGAGAUUGGUUUGCUCUCGGAAAUACUCCAGGAAGUGUGUUUUUCUUUCCUUAUCAGUUUUAAAAAGUUAAGUCUCUUGCCACAACAAACUCAACUUUGUGUUGUUCAGAUCAGAAUAGCUUUUGUAUCCCUUUUUAUGAACACUCAAUUCUAUUGCUCAGCGUGAAGUACAGCCCUUUUGUUGCUUCUAUUUUUGUUAUUAUUCUUUGACCUCUUAAGAUGUAUACAUACACACUCAUGUUUGCACUCUCACAGACACAUGCAUACCCCUAACAGUUCUGGGGGAAAGAACUGGAUAGAAAGAGACCACAAUACCUAUAAUAUAUACCAUAAUUCACUGCAAUAUGAACUGUAAUAUAUUUGUUUGUUACCAGAAGUAAGAAUCUCAUUGAAAAAUAAAGAUCAUUUUGAAGCAGUGCUCUGUAUCCUUGCCAAGAGUAACACAGUAGUAGUUUAACAGGUUUUUUACUGGCAUAAGACAAAAAAGAAAAAAAAAAGCUACUUUUAAAGGUAACUGACAAUUAAGGUAAUGACUAUGUAAGACUUAGUUUCAGAGUAAUGUUUCGAAUGUAGUUUCUUUUUUUUUUUUU